GAUGAACGCUGGCGGCGUGCUUAACACAUGCAAGUCGAACGGAAAGGCCUCUGCUUGCAGGGGUACUCGAGUGGCGAACGGGUGAGUAACACGUGGGUGAUCUGCCCUGCACUUCGGGAUAAGCCUGGGAAACUGGGUCUAAUACCGGAUAGGACAAUGGUUUGGAUGCUGUUGUGGAAAGUUUUUCGGUGUGGGAUGAGCUCACGGCCUAUCAGCUUGUUGGUGGGGUAAUGGCCUACCAAGGCGUCGACGGGUAGCCGGCCUGAGAGGGUGUACGGCCACAUUGGGACUGAGAUACGGCCCAGACUCCUACGGGAGGCAGCAGUGGGGAAUAUUGCACAAUGGGCGCAAGCCUGAUGCAGCGACGCCGCGUGGGGGAUGACGGCCUUCGGGUUGUAAACUCCUUUCGCUAGGGACGAAGCGUUUUUGUGACGGUACCUGGAGAAGAAGCACCGGCUAACUACGUG
Molecule: ribosomal RNA, 467 nt
Filed under: uncultured bacterium
Lineage: Bacteria
Description: partial 16S ribosomal RNA
Rfam family: Bacterial small subunit ribosomal RNA
Source: RNAcentral